AAACGAGGCUUUCCCGCGCCGCCUCCCGCGCGGCCACUGCCGCCGGGAGCUCGGUUCCCCAUCCGCCGUCGGCCGCCCGGAGCUCGGGCUCUCCCGCGCCGCCGCGGCUGCCCGGAGCUCGCGCACGGCCAGAUCCGGCCCCGCUACCGCGAGCUGGGGGAGCAGGGCCGGGGCCGGGGCACAGGAGCUUGCGGCUCGGGGGAGAGAGAAGACCGUCGUAAGCCGUCGCCCAAGACCCAGCUGCACCCAGUCGUCUCGCUCACCAGUGUGGCCGCGAGGGGAGGGCGCCGGCCAGCGCGUGCUCCGCGUCGACCCGAGGUCAUGCUUCCCAUGCCCGGGGACAUCCGCCGCGCUCUGCCUUGACAUGGCCACGCUCACCACGCCAAAACAUUCGCUUGCCCACCAUUAAGGUCGACGAGGCAUCCUGCCAGCAGGAGUUUGCUGCUGCCCUGCUUCCUGCUCCGUGCUUCCCGCCCGUUGAUCUGGCCACACUUGCCAUGUCCGAGAAUAUGUUGUUGAUUGCUUCACUCGGUAAUAACAUCCAAGGUUCAAAUCUUAUUUUGCUUUAGGUGAAUGGAUAGCAACAGGGAAUUGUACUAUUAGCUUUACUUUUAUCAGUGUUCCGGCAUACUGCUAUCACUGGAUCAGUAGCUUUAGAUGAAGAAAACAGCUCUCAUUAUCUCUGUGUUUUCAUGCCCACAACAUGGAUACCUCACCGCGCCUGGACAUGUGCAAUGGUAAUCCUUGGAACAGCCAUGUCAAAUGGCAGCCAUACACCCAUCGGAUUCAGCACAUAUAGUUAUGAGAAGGGCAGGAUGAUUAUUUUCCUUACAACGAUUUGGCAAACAAGCUAAUGUAUUUUUUCAUUCGAACAGUCUUAAUCUCUUACCUAAUCACUGUUCCAUUUGCUGCAAGGGUUUGAUUAAGGAUCAAAUCUUUUCAAAUUA
Long non-coding RNA from Setaria italica (foxtail millet), 947 nucleotides. RefSeq lists it as uncharacterized. The record is from RefSeq and is a predicted model, not a curated record. The transcript is spliced from 2 exons. NCBI's taxonomy places the organism in Eukaryota, Viridiplantae, Streptophyta, Magnoliopsida, Poales, Poaceae.